Molecule: ribosomal RNA, 1639 nt
Filed under: human gut metagenome
Description: bacterial LSU rRNA
Rfam family: Bacterial large subunit ribosomal RNA
Source: RNAcentral
GCGUGCCUUUUGUAGAAUGAACCGGCGAGUUGCGACAGACUGCGAGGUUAAGGAGGAAAGACCGGAGCCGAAGCGAAAGCGAGUCUUAAGAGGGCGAAAGUAGGAUGUUGCAGACCCGAAACCGGGUGAUCUAGCCAUGAGCAGGUUGAAGUUGAGGUGAAACUCAAUGGAGGACCGAACCGACUACCGUUGAAAAGUUAGCGGAUGACUUGUGGCUAGGGGAGAAAUUCCAAUCGAACCCGGAGAUAGCUGGUUCUCCCCGAAAUAGCUUUAGGGCUAGCGUCGGAAAGAACCUUAGUGAAGGUAGAGCACUGAAUGUGUGAUGGCCCCAUCCCGGGGUACUGAAUACAAUCAAACUGCGAAUGUCAUUAAGGAUGUCCGGCAGUCAGACUGUGAGUGAUAAGGUCCAUGGUCAAGAGGGAAACAGCCCAGACCGCCAGUUAAGGUCCCAAAAUACAGGCUAAGUGGAAAAGGAUGUGGGGAUGCCCAGACAACUAGGAGGUUGGCUCAGAAGCAGCCAUCCUUUAAAGAGUGCGUAACAGCUCACUAGUCGAGUGACCCUGCGCCGAAAAUGUACCGGGGCUAAGCCUGAUACCGAAACUGCGGAUUGUAGGAAACUAUAGUGGUAGGGGAGCGUUGUAUACGAGCAGAAGCCGUACCGUGAGGAGCGGUGGAUUGUAUAGAAGUGAGAAUGCCGGUGUGAGUAGCGAGAUGUAGGUGAGAAUCCUACACACCGAAAGCCCAAGGAUUCCAGGGGAAGGUUCGUCCGCCCUGGGUAAGUCGGGACCUAACGCGAGGCCGAAAGGCGUAGUGGAUGGAAAGCAGGCGAAAGAUUCCUGCACCCGUAUAUGGAGCGAAGGAGUGACGGAGACGGAUAGUGUGACCCUCUUAAUGGAUUGAGGGCGAAGCGAAGCGGCUGGUUACCAGGCAAAUCCGGUAACCAAAAGGCUAGAGCGUGACAGGUAAGCGAAAUCUUAGGAAAGUAGCGAAGCACAUGAUGACGGCUUCCAGGAAAAGCUUCUGGCAAUGCAUAUGCGGCCCGUACCAAAACCGACACAGGUGGGCAGGGAGAGAAUCCCGAGGUGAGCGAGAGAACUGUUGCCAAGGAACUCGGCAAAAUGACUCCGUAAGUUAGCGAGAAGGAGUGCUUAAGCAAUUAAGCCGCAGUGAAGAGGCCCAAGCGACUGUUUAACUAAAACACAGCUCUCUGCGAAGUCGCAAGACGAAGUAUAGGGGGUGACACCUGCCCGGUGCUGGAAGGUUAAGAGGAUCUGUUAAGAGCGAUCUGAAGCAGUGAUCCGAAGCCCCAGUGAACGGCGGCCGUAACUAUAACGGUCCUAAGGUAGCGAAAUUCCUUGUCAGGUAAGUUCUGACCCGCACGAAAGGUGUAACGAUUUGGGCGCUGUCUCGGCAGCAGACUCGGUGAAAUCUUAGUACCUGUGAAAAUGCAGGUUACCCGCAACUAGACGGAAAGACCCCAUGGAGCUUUACUGCAGCCUGAUAUUGAAUUCUGGUCAUACAUGUACAGGAUAGGUGGGAGACAAAGAGACGUGCACGCCAGUGUACGAGGAGUCGACGUUGGGAUACCACUCUUGUGUGACCGGGGUUCUAACCUGGUAUCGAGAACAGGUACGGGGAG